GAUGAAGAACGCAGCGAAAUGCGAUAAGUAAUGUGAAUUGCAGAAUCCAGUGAAUCAUCGAAUCUUUGAACGCACAUUGCGCCCGCCAGCAUUCUGGCGGGCAUGCCUGUUCGAGCGUCAUUUCAACCCUCGACCUCCCUUUGGGGAAGUCGGCGUUGGGGACCGGCAGCACACCGCCGGCCCUGAAAUGGAGUGGCGGCCCGUCCGCGGCGACCUCUGCGUAGUAAUCCAACUCGCACCGGAACCCCGACGCGGCCACGCCGUAAAACACCCAACUUCUGAACGUUGACCUCGAAUCAGGUAGGACUACCCGCUGAACUUAAGCAUAUCAAAAGCGGAGGA
This 342-nucleotide unclassified non-coding RNA is filed under the name soil metagenome. RNAcentral describes it as "partial contains 5.8S ribosomal RNA, internal transcribed spacer 2, and large subunit ribosomal RNA". The stretch from base 1 to 120 matches the Rfam family "5.8S ribosomal RNA", at positions 35 to 154 of the family's 154-position model. The record is from RNAcentral.